CAGUAGCCACGGUAAUACGGGGGGUGCAAGCGUUAUUCGGAUUGAUUGGGUGUAAAGGGUGUGCAGACGGCUUAUUAAGUCACUUGUUAAAUUCUUCGGCCUAACUGAAGGUCUGCAAGUGAUACUGAUGAGCUAGAGGGUGGAAGAGAGAAGUGGAAUUCUCGGAGUAGCGGUAAAAUGCGUAGAUCUCGAGAGGAACACCAAUGGCGAAGGCAGCUUCUUGGUCCAUUCCUGACGUUCAUACACGAAAGCGUGGGGAGCAAACAAGAUUAGAUACCCCCGUAGUCCCUGUCUCUUAUAA
This 301-nucleotide ribosomal RNA is filed under the name uncultured bacterium. RNAcentral describes it as "partial 16S ribosomal RNA". It matches the Rfam family "Bacterial small subunit ribosomal RNA", at positions 509 to 809 of the family's 1533-position model. The record is from RNAcentral.